CCUACGGGUGGCAGCAGUGAGGACUAUUGGUCCAUGGGCGCGAGCCUGAACCAGCCAAGUAGCGUGAAGGAUGACUGCCCUACGGGUUGUAAACUUCUUUUAUAAAGGAAUAAAGUGAGGCAUGUGUGCCUUUUUUUAUGUACUUUAUGAAUAAGGGUCGGCUAACUCCGUGCCAGCAGCCGCGGUAAUACGGAGGAUCCGAGCGUUAUCCGGAUUUAUUGGGUUUAAAGGGAGCGUAGAUGGGUUGUUAAGUCAGUUGUGAAAGUUUGCGGCUCAACCGUAAAAUUGCAAUUGAUACUGGCAGCCUUGAGUACAGUUAAGGUAGGCGGAAUUCGUGGUGUAGCGGUGAAAUGCUUAGAUAUCACGAAGAACUCCGAGUGCGAAGGCAGCCUACUAAACGGCCACUGACAUUGAUGCUCGAAAGUGUGGGUAUCAAACAGGAUUAGAUACCCCAGUAGUC
Molecule: ribosomal RNA, 460 nt
Filed under: uncultured bacterium
Lineage: Bacteria
Description: partial 16S ribosomal RNA
Rfam family: Bacterial small subunit ribosomal RNA
Source: RNAcentral